This 468-nucleotide ribosomal RNA is filed under the name uncultured bacterium. RNAcentral describes it as "partial 16S ribosomal RNA". It matches the Rfam family "Bacterial small subunit ribosomal RNA", at positions 28 to 507 of the family's 1533-position model. The record is from RNAcentral.
GACGAACGCUGGCGGCGUGCUUAACACAUGCAAGUCGAACGGAAAGGCCCUGCUUUUGUUGGGUGCUCGAGUGGCGAACGGGUGAGUAACACGUGAGUAACCUUCCCUUGACUUUGGGAUAACUUCAGGAAACUUGGGCUAAUACCGGAUAGGAGCUCCUGCUUCAUGGUGUGGGUUGGAAAGUUUCGGCGGUUGGGGAUGGACUCGCGGCUUAUCAGCUUGUUUGUGGGGUAGUGGCUUACCAAGGCUUUGACGGGUAGCCGGCCUGAGAGGGUGACCGGCGACAUUGGGACUGAGAUACGGCCCAGACUACUACGGGAGGCAGCAGUGGGGAAUAUUGCACAAUGGGCGGAAGCCUGAUGAAGAAAAGCAGCGUGCGGGAUGACGGCCUUCGGGUUGUAAAAAGAUUUAGAAUGUGAAGAAGAGUGAGUGACGGUAAUGGGUAAAGAAGCACCGGCUAACUACGUG